UACGUAGGGGGCAAGCGUUGUCCGGAAUUAUUGGGCGUAAAGAGCGCGUAGGCGGUCCGAUAAGUCGGCUGUGAAAGUCAGGGGCUCAACCCUUGGAAGCCGGCCGAUACUGUCGGACUAGAGUCCGGAAGAGGCGAGUGGAAUUCCGGUGUAGCGGUGAAAUGCGCAGAUAUCGGGAGGAACACCAAUGGCGAAGGCAGCUCGCUGGGACGGUACUGACGCUGAGGCGCGAAAGCGUGGGGAGCAACAGGGAUUAAGAA
Molecule: ribosomal RNA, 260 nt
Filed under: uncultured bacterium
Lineage: Bacteria
Description: partial 16S ribosomal RNA
Rfam family: Bacterial small subunit ribosomal RNA
Source: RNAcentral